ACGCUCGACACCUACGGGAGGCAGCAGUGGGGAAUAUUGCACAAUGGAGGAAACUCUGAUGCAGCGAUGCCGCGUGAGGGAAGAAGGUUUUCGGAUUGUAAACCUCUGUCUUUGGGGACGAUAAUGACGGUACCCAAGGAGGAAGCUCCGGCUAACUACGUGCAGCAGCCGCGGUAAUCUGAGCGGGCUGGCAAGGC
Molecule: ribosomal RNA, 197 nt
Filed under: uncultured bacterium
Lineage: Bacteria
Description: partial 16S ribosomal RNA
Rfam family: Bacterial small subunit ribosomal RNA
Source: RNAcentral